RNAcentral lists this ribosomal RNA (490 nucleotides) under uncultured bacterium. Its description in RNAcentral is "bacterial SSU rRNA". It matches the Rfam family "Bacterial small subunit ribosomal RNA", at positions 28 to 517 of the family's 1533-position model. The record is from RNAcentral.
GAUGAACGCUAGCGGGAGGCCUAACACAUGCAAGCCGAGCGGUAUAGAGUAGCUUGCUACUCUAGAGAGCGGCGUACGGGUGCGGAACACGUGUGCAACCUGCCUUUAUCUGGGAGAUAGCCUUUCGAAAGGAAGAUUAAUACCCCAUAAUAUAUGAUUCGGCAUCGGAUUAUAUUGAAAGCUCCGGCGGAUAGAGAUGGGCACGCGCAAGAUUAGAUAGUUGGUGAGGUAACGGCUCACCAAGUCAGUGAUCUUUAGGGGGCCUGAGAGGGUGAUCCCCACACUGGUACUGAGACACGGACCAGACUCCUACGGGAGCAGCAGUGAGGAAUAUUGGACAAUGGGUGAAAGCCUGAUCCAGCCAUCCCGCGUGAAGGAUUAAGGACCUAUGGGUUUGUAAACUUCUUUUGUACAGGGAUAAACCUCUCCACGUGUGGAGAGCUGAAGGUACUGUACGAAUAAGCACCGGCUAACUCCGUGCCAGCAGCCG